UACGAAGGGAUCUAGCGUUGUUCGGAUUUACUGGGCGUAAAGGGCGCGUAGGCGGUUAUGUAAGUAAGAUGUGAAAGCCCUGGGCUUAACCCGGGAACUGCAUUUUAAACUGCAUAGCUUGAGUGUUGGAGAGGUAAGUAGAAUUCCGAGUGUAGAGGUGAAAUUCGUAGAUAUUCGGAAGAACACCAGUGGCGAAGGCGACUGACUGGACAAGUAUUGACGCUGAGGUGCGAAAGCGUGGGGAGCAAACAGGAUUAGAUACCCCAGUGU
This 270-nucleotide ribosomal RNA is filed under the name uncultured bacterium. Its description in RNAcentral is "partial 16S ribosomal RNA". It matches the Rfam family "Bacterial small subunit ribosomal RNA", at positions 524 to 794 of the family's 1533-position model. The record is from RNAcentral.